CUCUGACCGAGACGGACGCGACCCGCGACUGGGUCCGAUUGGAAAUCACUUCUCCGGCCACCUCUCUGCGGCGGACCACCGGCAACAGCUUCGUCUCUGCGUCGCCUACCUCCCUGCAUCCUCAGAUUGUCCAUGCAUCGACGAUGAACGGAGAAACAACUAUUGGAAGCUCGGAGACUCCUCCGGCGAGUUUCGGCGAUUCCGGCCACCAUCUGGGCUGUAGUUGCUUUUCCGGCAUUGCUGGGCUUUGUUUCUUGCUCGACUGCAACUGUAGGCAAGAUAUUGGCCAACUUUCUGGGUAGAUUACGUCAACAUCCUCAGUCCCUCAGCUACCUAGUUUCGGCAUGUGGUUUGGCUUGAUUGCAAUGGGAUUUUGAAGGUAUAUUUCAAACCUCAAAUCAAGUUUUGAUCUUGGUUUGGUUCUUGGAAGAUAGGGAACUGAGUUUGGUUUGGUAUGGUGAGAUGAAAUCUCUAUCUGAUAUCGAUUGUGUUAAGUUAGUUUACUGAUGGCUUUUGGAGUUUAUGCUCGAAUUAGGAAUUAAGUUUGGUGGAGUUGAUUGUUUGUAUGUGUUAUGAACAGUGUUGUGGUUGAAUUCGGAUUA
Rosa rugosa (rugosa rose) is the source of this 602-nucleotide long non-coding RNA. RefSeq lists it as uncharacterized. The record is from RefSeq and is a predicted model, not a curated record. NCBI's taxonomy places the organism in Eukaryota, Viridiplantae, Streptophyta, Magnoliopsida, Rosales, Rosaceae. The transcript has 2 exons.